UACGGAGGAUCCGAGCGUUAUCCGGAUUUACUGGGUUUAAAGGGUGCGUAGGCGGGCGCCUAAGUCAGCGGUGAAAGGCGGCGGCUCAACCGUCGGAUGGCCGUUGAUACUGGGCGCCUUGGAUGCGGUCGAGGCGGGUGGAAUGCGCGGUGUAGCGGUGAAAUGCUUAGAUAUCGCGCAGAACGCCGAUUGCGAAGGCAGCUCGCCGGGCCGUGAUUGACGCUGAGGCACGACAGCGUGGGGAUCGAACAGG
Molecule: ribosomal RNA, 253 nt
Filed under: uncultured bacterium
Lineage: Bacteria
Description: partial 16S ribosomal RNA
Rfam family: Bacterial small subunit ribosomal RNA
Source: RNAcentral